UACGUAGGGUGCAAGCGUUGUCCGGAAUUAUUGGGCGUAAAGGGCUCGUAGGCGGUCUGUCACGUCGGGAGUGAAAACUCAGGGCUUAACCCUGAGCCUGCUUCCGAUACGGGCAGACUAGAGGUAUGCAGGGGAGAACGGAAUUCCUGGUGUAGCGGUGAAAUGCGCAGAUAUCAGGAGGAACACCGGUGGCGAAGGCGGCUCUCUGGGACGGUACUGACGCUGAGACGCGAAAGCGUGGGGAGCGAACAGG
RNAcentral lists this ribosomal RNA (253 nucleotides) under uncultured bacterium. RNAcentral describes it as "partial 16S ribosomal RNA". It matches the Rfam family "Bacterial small subunit ribosomal RNA", at positions 524 to 776 of the family's 1533-position model. The record is from RNAcentral.